RNAcentral lists this ribosomal RNA (253 nucleotides) under uncultured bacterium. RNAcentral describes it as "partial 16S ribosomal RNA". It matches the Rfam family "Bacterial small subunit ribosomal RNA", at positions 524 to 776 of the family's 1533-position model. The record is from RNAcentral.
UACAGAGGUCCCAAGCGUUGUUCGGAUUCACUGGGCGUAAAGGGUGCGUAGGCGGUCGGGCAAGUCUGAUGUGAAAUCUCCAAGCCUAACUUGGAAACUGCAUUGGAUACUAUCCGGCUCGAGGAAUGGAGGGGAGACUGGAAUACUUGGUGUAGCAGUGAAAUGCGUAGAUAUCAAGUGGAACACCAGUGGCGAAGGCGAGUCUCUGGACAUUUACUGACGCUGAGGCACGAAAGCCAGGGGAGCAAAAGGG